RNAcentral lists this ribosomal RNA (486 nucleotides) under uncultured bacterium. RNAcentral's name for it is "partial 16S ribosomal RNA". It matches the Rfam family "Bacterial small subunit ribosomal RNA", at positions 30 to 507 of the family's 1533-position model. The record is from RNAcentral.
AUUGAACGCUGGCGGCAUGCCUUACACAUGCAAGUCGAACGGCAGCACGGGUGCUUGCACCUGGUGGCGAGUGGCGAACGGGUGAGUAAUACAUCGGAACAUGUCCUUUAGUGGGGGAUAGCCCGGCGAAAGCCGGAUUAAUACCGCAUACGAUCUACGGAUGAAAGCGGGGGACCUUCGGGCCUCGCGCUUUAGGGUUGGCCGAUGGCUGAUUAGCUAGUUGGUGGGGUAAAGGCCUACCAAGGCGACGAUCAGUAGCUGGUCUGAGAGGACGACCAGCCACACUGGGACUGAGACACGGCCCAGACUCCUACGGGAGGCAGCAGUGGGGAAUUUUGGACAAUGGGCGAAAGCCUGAUCCAGCAAUGCCGCGUGUGUGAAGAAGGCCUUCGGGUUGUAAAGCACUUUUGUCCGGAAAGAAAUCCUUGGCUCUAAUACAGUCGGGGGAUGACGGUACCGGAAGAAUAAGCACCGGCUAACUACGUG